CCAGGGGGUUAGGGGGAGGAGCUGAAACAGGGCCCAGGGGUUAGGGGGGGUUAGGAGCUGAAACAGGGCCCAGCCAACCAGACAUUAUCAAUAUGUAGACAGAGUGUUUAACAGUCAAAAGGAUACAGUCUUACUGUCACAAGGCCAAAGACCCAGAAAGAGAUUCACCAUAGAGGGAGGAGACAUUUCUCCCUAACCACCGAUCAUCAUUUAACAGUGAAGACCCUGCUCCACAGGCCAGGUUGAUACUGUCCGUCGGUCUGGUCCGUCUGCUCUUCCUCAAGAGGAGGAAGUGGAGGACCUACGUAUUCUAUCUGGGAGGGAGGGAGAUUCCUAACCAGUGUUACAAAAGUAACACGUUACGUAAUCAGAUUACUUUUAUGAGUAACAGAGUAAAGUAACACAUUACUUUUUCAAAUUGGGUUCUAUUAUUACAGUUACUUCGACAACACAUGCGUUACUUUCAGAAUCAUCUCUCUACCAACAACCUGUCCUGUGUCUGUCUGUCUGUCCAGGUACAGAGAGCAUUAUGUCAACAACCUGUCCUGUGUCUGUCUGUCCAGGUACAGAGAGCAUUAUGUCAACAACCUGUCCUGUGUCUGUCUGUCCAGGUACAGAGAGCAUUAUGUCAACAACCUGUCCUGUGUCUGUCUGUCUGUCCAGGUACAGAGAACAUUAUGUCAACAACCUGUCCUGUGUCUGUCUGUCUGUCCAGGUACAGAGAGCAUUAUGUCAACAACCUGUCCUGUGUCUGUCUAGGUACAGAGAGCAUUAUGUCAACAACCUGUCCUGUGUCUGUCUAGGUACAGAGAGCAUUAUGUCAACAACCUGUCCUGUGUCUGUCCGUCUAGGUACAGAGAGCAUUAUGUCAUUGCAUAAAUAAGUUGUUCUCAUUAAUGCGGGGUCUUUCUUGGUAGAGUGAUAUCACCUAUGAGUUCCCUGAUCAUAGCUCGGCUUCAGAUAGUUAGAAAAGAAAAAGAAGCUGUACAAAAAUUAUUUGGCAAUGUAAAGCUUCUCAAACAGACAGACAGACGACCGUCUACCAACGCUGAGCAGGAAUUACAAUAAUAAUGAUUUGAACAGGAGUCGCCGGAGGUGUCCCAUAUGGCACACGAUUCCCUAUAUAGUGCACUACUAUAGACCAGAGCCCUAUUCCCUAUAUAGUGUACUACUAUAGACCAGAGCGCUAUUCCCUAUAUAGUGCACUACUUUAGACCAGGGCCCUACUCCCUACAUAGUGCACUACUUUAGACCAGGGCCUUAUUCCCAAUAUAGUGCACUACUUUAGACCAGGGCCCUAUUCCCUAUAUAGUGUACUACUAUAGACCAGGGCCCUAUUCCCUAUAUAGUGUACUACUAUAGACUAGAGUCAUGUUAUCUAUAUAGUGCACUACUAUAGCCCAGAGCCCUAUUCCCAAUAUAGUGCUUUCCAAUAGUCCCCCGUAGGCAGUGAGGAGUGGGUGGGGGGAUAAUAAACAAUAAGCCAACAUGUGACCUUCUUCACCCCGUAGGGAGAGAGGAGAGGGAUAGAGGGAGAAAGGACAGAUUGAUUCCUGAAACCCGUUCCUGAGCAUGGUGGUCUGACUGAGGAAGGCGGGGGGGGAGUAUACAGGCUGGAGACAGGAGGAACCAGAGCACACAACGACGAGAGUCCAGAGUCUAUCUG
Molecule: long non-coding RNA, 1666 nt
Organism: Oncorhynchus tshawytscha (Chinook salmon)
Lineage: Eukaryota; Metazoa; Chordata; Actinopteri; Salmoniformes; Salmonidae
Source: Ensembl